AGAUUGAACGCUGGCGGCAUGCCUUACACAUGCAAGUCGAACGGCAGCGCGGGGGCAACCCUGGCGGCGAGUGGCGAACGGGUGAGUAAUAUAUCGGAACGUGCCCUGGAGUGGGGGAUAACGUAGCGAAAGUUACGCUAAUACCGCAUACGAUCUAAGGAUGAAAGUGGGGGAUCGCAAGACCUCAUGCUCCUGGAGCGGCCGAUAUCUGAUUAGCUAGUUGGUAGGUAAAAGCCUACCAAGGCAUCGAUCAGUAGCUGGUCUGAGAGGACGACCAGCCACACUGGGACUGAGACACGGCCCAGACUCCUACGGGAGCAGCAGUAGGAUAUUGGACAA
Molecule: ribosomal RNA, 339 nt
Filed under: uncultured soil bacterium
Lineage: Bacteria
Description: bacterial SSU rRNA
Rfam family: Bacterial small subunit ribosomal RNA
Source: RNAcentral